RNAcentral lists this ribosomal RNA (609 nucleotides) under Nosema mylitta. RNAcentral's name for it is "SSU rRNA". It matches the Rfam family "Microsporidia small subunit ribosomal RNA", at positions 636 to 1275 of the family's 1311-position model. Lineage: Eukaryota; Fungi; Microsporidia; Nosematidae. The record is from RNAcentral.
UCGUAAGUGGAGGAUGAAGAUGAUUUGAUACCAUUGUAGUUUUAGCAGUAAAUAUGUUGAAUCAUAGAUAUAUUUUGAUAUAUAUUUAUGUAGAGAAAUUAAGAUUAUAUUGACUUGGGGAUAGUAUGAUCGCAAGAUUGAAAAUUAAAGAAAUUGACGGAAGAAUACCACAAGGAGUGGAUUGUGCGGCUUAAUUUGACUCAACGCGGGGUAAUUUACCAGGUAUAACAUGAUAUAAUAUUUUAUCAUGAUAGUGGUGCAUGGCCGUUUCCAAUGGAUGCUGUGAAGUAAUGAUUAAUUUCAACAAGAUGUGAGACCCUCAUAUAGACAGAUGUAGUGAUACAUAUGAAGGAGAGGAUUAAAACAGGUCCGUUAUGCCCUAAGAUAAUCUGGGUUGCACGCGCAAUACAAUAAUAUUUGAUAUUAUAAGGGAUAAUAUAAUGUAAGAUAUAUUUGAACAUGGAAUUGCUAGUAAAUUUUAUUUAAUAAGUAGAAUUGAAUGAGUCCCUGUUCUUUGUACACACCGCCCGUCGCUAUCUAAGAUGGUAUUAUCUAUGAACAAAUUUAUAAAGGGAAUAGAUAGUACUAGAUCUGAUAUAAGUUCGAACC